UACGUAGGUGGCAAGCGUUAUCCGGAAUUAUUGGGCGUAAAGGGUGCGUAGGCGGUUUAUUAAGUCUAUGGUGAAAGUGCGGGGCUCAACCCCGUAUGGCCAUAGAAACUGGUAGACUUGAAUACGGGAGAGGGCAGUGGAAUUCCUGGUGUAGGAGUGAAAUCCGUAGAUAUAUGGAGGAACACCAGUGGCGAAGGCGGUUGCCUGGCCUGUAACUGACGCUGAAGCACGAAAGCGUGGGGAGCAAAUAGG
RNAcentral lists this ribosomal RNA (252 nucleotides) under uncultured bacterium. RNAcentral's name for it is "partial 16S ribosomal RNA". It matches the Rfam family "Bacterial small subunit ribosomal RNA", at positions 524 to 776 of the family's 1533-position model. The record is from RNAcentral.